RNAcentral lists this long non-coding RNA (780 nucleotides) under Pan troglodytes (chimpanzee). RNAcentral's name for it is "lincRNA". The record is from RNAcentral. Lineage: Eukaryota; Metazoa; Chordata; Mammalia; Primates; Hominidae.
GCAAUGUAAUUAUAUUUAAUUACAAGUGUGCUCCUGGUGGUCUUUAACUGAAGGGCACUGACUGGGUCACUGGUGAAGUUCCCCGCAGGAACUGAGUCAGACCCCAUCUCAGGGCCCCGCACAAGAUAGGUGCCUGCACUAAGGCGUGGACCCUCGCGACAGCCCUGGCCCGUCUUGACGGGCGAGGGUUACUGUACUUGUCCCAACCGUACAGAUGAGAAAGCUGAGACUCAGGGCGAGCAACCCGGGUCCCAGCGGAGCGCCGGGCACGCGCCGACACUUCCGCACCAGUCGCGGUGGCCACCACUGUGCGCGGAGAUGGCUGCGACGCGUGCGCAGGUAAAGUCCAUCCGUGCCUUGCCUCCCACCGGCGCCUUCCACGGCCUCUGGUUUUGUCCCCGCCAGCGGCUCCGAUUCUAUCGCGUCCUCUUCCAGUCUAGUGCUUUUUUCCAGAUCUCGAUCCCAAACUCCCUCCUGCCAGAAUCUGGACCCGAAUCCACCCAUUGCCCAGUUUCCGCUGCCGCUGGAGAGAAUCUCUGAGGUCCCCAGGACAGCCUGCCUGCACGGAAGAGAUGCCUCCUCAAUUAAAUGCUGUUUUCCAUGACCGUCUCUGUUCUUCCCAUACGCGAAUGGCAGGCAUCCAGAUCUCCAAGAAUAGAGGAUUAGGAGAGACUCCACCACCUAUGUCCUCACAGUUAAUUAUCGAUUUGUGUCACUUGCCCAUUUUCUCACUUCCUGUUUGUGUGUCAAGGAGUAUUAAUAAAUCUUUGCCUAUUUAAA